GUUAAUGUAGCUUAAACAGUAAAGCAAGGCACUGAAAAUGCCUAGAUGAGUGUACUAACUCCAUAAACA
This 69-nucleotide transfer RNA is filed under the name Rucervus eldii siamensis. Its description in RNAcentral is "tRNA-Phe". It matches the Rfam family "tRNA". Rfam says of the family: Transfer RNA (tRNA) molecules are approximately 80 nucleotides in length. The record is from RNAcentral. RNAcentral also lists the same sequence under 2 other names. Lineage: Eukaryota; Metazoa; Chordata; Mammalia; Artiodactyla; Cervidae.